GACGAACGCUGGCGGCGUGCUUAACACAUGCAAGUCGAGCGGUAAGGCCCUUUCGGGGGUACACGAGCGGCGAACGUGUGAGUAACACGUGGGUGACCUGCCCUCAGCUCUGGGAUAAGCCCGGGAAACUGGGUCUAAUACUGGAUAUGACUCCAUGACGCAUGUUGUGGGGUGGAAAGCCUUGUGCGGCUGAGGAUGGGCCCGCGGCCUAUCAGCUUGUUGGGGGGUGAUGGCCUACCAAGGCGACGACGGGUAGCCGGCCUGAGAGGGCGACCGGCCACACUGGGACUGAGACACGGCCCAGACUCCUACGGGAGGCAGCAGUGGGGAAUCUUGCGCAAUGGGCGAAAGCCUGACGCAGCGACGCCGCGUGAGGGA
RNAcentral lists this ribosomal RNA (378 nucleotides) under uncultured bacterium. RNAcentral's name for it is "bacterial SSU rRNA". It matches the Rfam family "Bacterial small subunit ribosomal RNA", at positions 28 to 408 of the family's 1533-position model. The record is from RNAcentral.